GCCCAGGUAGCUCAGUUGGUAGAGCAGCGGACUGAAAAUCCGCGUGUCGCUGGUUCGAUUCCAGCCCUGGGCACCA
RNAcentral lists this transfer RNA (76 nucleotides) under Kaistia dalseonensis. RNAcentral describes it as "tRNA-Phe". It matches the Rfam family "tRNA". Rfam says of the family: Transfer RNA (tRNA) molecules are approximately 80 nucleotides in length. Lineage: Bacteria; Pseudomonadati; Pseudomonadota; Alphaproteobacteria; Hyphomicrobiales; Kaistiaceae. The record is from RNAcentral.